RNAcentral lists this long non-coding RNA (483 nucleotides) under Glycine max (soybean). Its description in RNAcentral is "long non-coding RNA (GMAX_LNC003172)". Lineage: Eukaryota; Viridiplantae; Streptophyta; Magnoliopsida; Fabales; Fabaceae. The record is from RNAcentral.
UUUUAAAAUAUAACUUUUUGAUUUAUUUUUUUUUAAAGUAAAAAAACUGAAUUCAUGAUUCACAUGAUAACUUUCUUAAUUUUUUAUUUUUAUUUUUUAAAUAAUUUGUAGCGGGUAAAAGUUGCUUUACUAAAGAAAUAAUGUAAUCUCAUCCAAAUCAAUGGCGCCGCCGCAAGCGAAAUCGGACAGUACUUAUCUGGGCGCCUCCGGCGAUACCUCUACUAGGAGAAGCGUGACGACUUGUUUCAUGGUGAGUCUCCCCUGAGGAUCUGGGUGGCAACAAGACAACCCAAGCUUCCACACGUGCAUCUUCAUGUCUCCCAAAAGAGGAGAAGAAGCUCAAACCCAUGUUGGGGAACCUCCGCCGCCGUAGAAGGAGGAACACGGUGAGAGAACGGAGCAAGAGCCAAACAAGCCGCCGCUAGGAGUAGGGGUUAUCAGUCGCCUCCCGCACACCACCUCAAUGUUGUAUUAAGUCUGGAU